Molecule: small nuclear RNA, 104 nt
Filed under: Neogale vison (American mink)
Lineage: Eukaryota; Metazoa; Chordata; Mammalia; Carnivora; Mustelidae
Source: RNAcentral
GUGCUCGCUUCGAUGGCACAUAUCCUAACACUGGAAUGACACAGAGAUCAGCACAGCUCCUGUGCAAGGAGGACACGCAAAUCUGCGAAGGCAACACGGGUGAU